RNAcentral lists this ribosomal RNA (545 nucleotides) under uncultured bacterium. RNAcentral describes it as "partial 16S ribosomal RNA". It matches the Rfam family "Bacterial small subunit ribosomal RNA", at positions 355 to 914 of the family's 1533-position model. The record is from RNAcentral.
UGGGGAAUAUUGCACAAUGGGCGAAAGCCUGAUGCAGCAACGCCGCGUGGGUGAUGAAGGUUUUCGGAUUGUAAAGCCCUGUCUUUUGGGACGAUAAUGACGGUACCAAAGGAGGAAGCCACGGCUAACUACGUGCCAGCAGCCGCGGUAAUACGUAGGUGGCGAGCGUUGUCCGGAUUUACUGGGCGUAAAGGGUGCGUAGGCGGAUAUUUAAGUGGGAUGUGAAAACCCCGGGCUUAACCUGGGGACUGCAUUUCAAACUGGAUAUCUGGAGUGCAGGAGAGGAAAGCGGAAUUCCUAGUGUAGCGGUGAAAUGCGUAGAGAUUAGGAAGAACACCAGUGGCGAAGGCGGCUUUCUGGACUGUAACUGACGCUGAGGCACGAAAGCGUGGGUAGCAAACAGGAUUAGAUACCCUGGUAGUCCACGCCGUAAACGAUGAGUACUAGGUGUAGGAGGUAUCGACCCCUUCUGUGCCGCAGUAAACGCAAUAAGUACUCCGCCUGGGAAGUACGAUCGCAAGAUUAAAACUCUAAAGUGAAUUGAC